UCCCAUAUAGUCUAGCGGUUAGGAUUUCUGGUUUUCACCAUGACGGCCCGGGUUGGACUCCCGGUAUGGGAA
Non-coding RNA from Nematostella vectensis (starlet sea anemone), 72 nucleotides. NCBI's taxonomy places the organism in Eukaryota, Metazoa, Cnidaria, Anthozoa, Actiniaria, Edwardsiidae. The record is from Rfam.